Molecule: ribosomal RNA, 465 nt
Filed under: uncultured bacterium
Lineage: Bacteria
Description: partial 16S ribosomal RNA
Rfam family: Bacterial small subunit ribosomal RNA
Source: RNAcentral
CCUACGGGUGGCAGCAGUGGGGAAUAUUGCACAAUGGUCGCAAGUCUGAUGCAGCCACGCCGCGUGAGUGAAGAAGGGUUUCGGCUUGUAAAGCUCUGUUGGUAGUGACGAAAGCACGUGGUUGUAUAUGCUAUUUAUUUGACGGUAAUUACAUAGAAAGUACCGGCUAACUCCGUGCCAGCAGCCGCGGUAAUACGGAGGUGGCAAGCGUUGUCCGGAUUUAUUGGGCGUAAAGUGAGCGCAGGCGGUGCAAUAAGUCUGAUGUGAAAGCCCUGGGCUCAACCGGGGAAUUGCAUCUGAAACUGGUGAGCUAGAGUACAGAAGAGGAGGGUGGAACUCCACGUGUAGCGGUGAAAUGCGUAGAGAUGUGGAAGAACACCGAUGGCGAAGGCAGCUCGCUGGUCUUCAACUGACGCUGAGGCGCGAAAGCGUGGGGAGCGAACAGGAUUAGAUACCCCUGUAGUC